CCUACGGGUGGCAGCAGUGAGGAAUAUUGGACAAUGGGGGGAACCCUGAUCCAGCCAUGCCGCGUGUGUGAAGAAGGCCCUCGGGUUGUAAAGCACUUUCAGUGAGGAAGAACGCCUGGUGGUUAAUACCCAUCAGGAAAGACAUCACUCACAGAAGAAGCACCGGCUAACUCCGUGCCAGCAGCCGCGGUAAUACGGAGGGUGCGAGCGUUAAUCGGAAUUACUGGGCGUAAAGCGCGCGUAGGUGGCUUGAUAAGCCGGUUGUGAAAGCCCCGGGCUCAACCUGGGAACGGCAUCCGGAACUGUCAAGCUAGAGUGCAGGAGAGGAAGGUAGAAUUCCCGGUGUAGCGGUGAAAUGCGUAGAGAUCGGGAGGAAUACCAGUGGCGAAGGCGGCCUUCUGGACUGACACUGACACUGAGGUGCGAAAGCGUGGGUAGCAAACAGGAUUAGAUACCCGAGUAGUC
This 465-nucleotide ribosomal RNA is filed under the name Vreelandella stevensii. RNAcentral's name for it is "partial 16S ribosomal RNA". It matches the Rfam family "Bacterial small subunit ribosomal RNA", at positions 338 to 795 of the family's 1533-position model. The record is from RNAcentral. Lineage: Bacteria; Pseudomonadati; Pseudomonadota; Gammaproteobacteria; Oceanospirillales; Halomonadaceae.